RNAcentral lists this unclassified non-coding RNA (265 nucleotides) under uncultured Pseudotomentella. RNAcentral's name for it is "sequence contains ITS2". Lineage: Eukaryota; Fungi; Basidiomycota; Agaricomycetes; Thelephorales; Thelephoraceae. The record is from RNAcentral.
AAUUCUCAACUGCCUUUUUAGCAUUUAUGUUAAGGGUGAAGUUGGAGUUGGAGGAUAAUUGCUGGCGCACAACUUAGGUUGUUUGUUAGCUCCUCCUAAAUGGAUGAGCUUUUCUGAUAGAUCAUGGCUCAGUAACACUAAUGUGAUAAUUAUCUACAUUAAAUGUGAAAGCUACGAGUAGAGUAACUUCAAUUGUGGAGAAGCUCCUAUAGAAAAGGGUAUGUCUUGGGGAUAAAUAAACCCUUGACUUGAAAUAUAAUGACAA